GUGUCAGCCGCCGCGGUAAUACGGAGGAUCCAAGCGUUAUCCGGAUUUAUUGGGUUUAAAGGGUGCGUAGGCGGCCUAUUAAGUCAGGGGUGAAAGACGGUAGCUUAACUAUCGCAGUGCCUUUGAUACUGAUGGGCUUGAAUGGACUAGAGGUAGGCGGAAUGUGACAAGUAGCGGUGAAAUGCAUAGAUAUGUCACAGAACACCAAUUGCGAAGGCAGCUUACUAUGGUUUAAUUGACGCUGAGGCACGAAAGCGUGGGGAUCAAACAGGAUUAGAUACCCUAGUAGUCC
Molecule: ribosomal RNA, 292 nt
Filed under: uncultured bacterium
Lineage: Bacteria
Description: partial 16S ribosomal RNA
Rfam family: Bacterial small subunit ribosomal RNA
Source: RNAcentral